GUAUUUAUAGUUGAGAAAUGGGAAAUUGUGUAAUUAUAUAAAGUUUAGGGUUAAAUUAAAGUUUGGGGGCCAAAUGGCUAUUUUUUAAAAUUCCAAAUGGCUAAUUUUGAAAAAGAGCCGUUUGGAAAUUAUUAAAAGGAAAAAAAGAAAUUUAAUUCUGCCCGUUACUGGAACCGUUUGGAACCGGUUGGAAUCGUUUGGAACCGCUUGAACCCAGUGUUUUUGAUAGCGCGCGGCGACAAAUAGCGACGAGGGCUCGCUUCAGUGAGGCGAGAGGCGCAGUGAAGCGCUCGCCUUUUUGAUGUGAGGCGACAAUUUAUAAAAAAAAAUAAUAUAUAUAUAUAUAUAAAACUAAAAACUCAAUAACAAUAAUAUGUUAAUAAAUUAAAGAGUACUAAUAGUCUAAACUCUAAAAUAAGCAACAUUUAUUCUUCUUCAAGAUUUCCAAAUUCCACAAGAUCAUUGUUGAUAGCAUUAUAUUGGCUAUCAUCUUCUUCAUCCUCUGAAACUUCAUCAAUUAGGGUGGUGGACCGGCUUGAACUUGCUACCCCUUUUCCCUUGUAUGUUGAACUUGAAGAACUCGCUCUAAGUUGUUGUCAUCUUCUUCGUCCUCGGACACUUCAUCAAUUAGGGUAGUGGACCGGCUUGAAGUUGCUACCCCCUUUCCCUUGUACGUUGAACUUGAAGAACUCGCUCUAAGUCCAUAGAUGUUCU
This 714-nucleotide long non-coding RNA is filed under the name Nicotiana benthamiana. RNAcentral describes it as "long non-coding RNA (NBEN_LNC029290)". Lineage: Eukaryota; Viridiplantae; Streptophyta; Magnoliopsida; Solanales; Solanaceae. The record is from RNAcentral.